GACCACCACUCUCAACUGGACUGCAACCAUCACUCGUACCACCAGGUUCUUCCUCUCCUUUUACUUUUGGACUCAGGGGGCCCACAUCGGAAGAGCAC
Molecule: long non-coding RNA, 98 nt
Organism: Empidonax traillii (willow flycatcher)
Lineage: Eukaryota; Metazoa; Chordata; Aves; Passeriformes; Tyrannidae
Exons: 3
Source: RefSeq, a predicted model, not a curated record